ACGAACGCUGGCGGCAUGCCUAACACAUGCAAGUCGAACGGGACCUUCGGUCUAGUGGCGCACGGGUGCGUAACGCGUGGGAAUCUGCCCUCAGGUACGGAAUAACUCAGGGAAACUUGAGCUAAUACCGUAUAAUGACUUCGGUCCAAAGAUUUAUCGCCUGAGGAUGAGCCCGCGUAGGAUUAGCUUGUUGGUGAGGUAAAGGCUCACCAAGGCGACGAUCCUUAGCGGG
This 232-nucleotide ribosomal RNA is filed under the name uncultured bacterium. RNAcentral's name for it is "partial 16S ribosomal RNA". It matches the Rfam family "Bacterial small subunit ribosomal RNA", at positions 29 to 290 of the family's 1533-position model. The record is from RNAcentral.